AUGUGGUGGGUCGAUCUGUCCUUUGGCGUCUUAUGUUGUGAUCCUUUCGUUGAGAGCCCUGUUCUGACGUACUUCCCGCUUCCGCCCGGCUGCGAGCUCCCGCAUCAGGAACAAUUAUCAAGAACUCGGUGUCUCGGCAUCAGUGGAAAGACCCUGCGUUUUGUGAACCUAGAGGGUACGGGCGCUUCAGUGCUUAUCAAAGCAUGGUCAUUUGUUGUGUCUGAUGCCGAGCCAGCUGGAUGGAUGCCAGAGUUUGAGCUGCCAGAAGUUGAAAUCUGGGCAGGCCAAUCAAACAGACCAUAUGGUGUUCUGUCAAGCCCCUUUGUUAGUCCAGUAGCCCCAGACUUGGUCUGCAUGCUUAAAGGAUCAGUUCUUUUCUGCGUGGACUUAAAAUCGGGACAAAAUUCUCUCGUUUAUCGGCUGCCGCCCACCCUGGAAGUAGAUGGUGCUACGGGCGUUGAGCCGCGGUUCAUGCCAUUGCAAAUGAUGUGGCGCCCAUGGGCGAUUGUGGCUUCCACGGGUGUGUGCAAUGCUCAACUGAAAGACGCGAUGCGAUUGGAGCGAUCUGCACCACCGGUCCAGAGCUGUCUGGUUUAUGGCAAUACAUGCGCGAGGAACAGGACAACGAAGUACAUGUAUCUGGCAGCGAUCGACAGAUCAGGAGCUAUGUUGAUCUGUGCUGGCAUUCAGCGCAUAGGGGAUCCUGCAAUCAAGAGGGUCUAUUUUGUGAGACAUGAUAUAACUGAGAAGUCACAUAAAAGGUUACCUGAUCUUGGCCAAGGUGCUCUGGUGCAUGGUAAUGUUGGUCUUGUCGUGGACAAAGAAGGGGUGUGUGUGGUUGCUGAGCUUGUGCGCACCAAAAACAAGAACAGUGGGCUCAUCCGGUUAUGGAGAUCAGAUGAUAAAAAGGACAAGUGGACUGAUAAGGAGGUGAACUUCCCACUGCAGGGCAGCCGGCGAUGGAAUGGAAAUGGAGCCAUCUCAUGGGGAGGGAAAAUCUGGUGGAUUGACCUGUCCCAAGGGCUGAUGUCCUAUGACCCAUUUGGUGCGAAGUCGAAGCUUUGUUACCUGGCUUUCCCUGGUGGGCAUGAAAUUGCUGAGAAUGAUAUCAACGCUUCAAUUGUAGAGAGUAGGCUGGUCAACAUUAGCUGUGGUAAGUUAUAG
RNAcentral lists this ribosomal RNA (1164 nucleotides) under Triticum aestivum (bread wheat). Its description in RNAcentral is "partial small subunit ribosomal RNA". The record is from RNAcentral. Lineage: Eukaryota; Viridiplantae; Streptophyta; Magnoliopsida; Poales; Poaceae.